RNAcentral lists this ribosomal RNA (497 nucleotides) under uncultured bacterium. Its description in RNAcentral is "partial 16S ribosomal RNA". It matches the Rfam family "Bacterial small subunit ribosomal RNA", at positions 28 to 507 of the family's 1533-position model. The record is from RNAcentral.
GACGAACGCUGGCGGCGUGCCUAAUACAUGCCAGUUGAGCGCUGAAGGUUGGUACUUGUACCAACUGGAUGAGCAGCGAACGGGUGAGUAACGCGUGGGGAAUCUGCCUUUGAGCGGGGGACAACAUUUGGAAACGAAUGCUAAUACCGCAUAAAAACUUUAAACACAAGUUUUAAGUUUGAAAGAUGCAAUUGCAUCACUCAAAGAUGAUCCCGCGUUGUAUUAGCUAGUUGGUGAGGUAAAGGCUCACCAAGGCGAUGAUACAUAGCCGACCUGAGAGGGUGAUCGGGCGCAUUGGGACUGAGGCACGGCCCAAACGCCUACGGGAGGCGGCAGUAGGGAAGCUUCGGCAAUGGACGAAAGUCUGACCGAGCAACGCCGCGGGAGUGAAGAAGGGUUUCGGAUCGGAAAACUCUGUUGGUAGAGAAGAACGUUGGUGAGAGUGGAAAGCUCAUCAAGUGACGGUAACUACACAGAAAGGGACGGCUAACUACGUG